AUUGAACGCUGGCGGCAGGCCUAACACAUGCAAGUCGAGCGGAGCGGCGGACGGGUGAGUAAUGCCUAGGAAUCUGCCUGGUAGUGGGGGAUAAAGUCCGGAAACGGGCGCUAAUACCGCAUACUACCAAGUGAGCCAAGGUUGGAUUAGCUAGUUGGCGGGGUAAAGGCCCACCAAGGCGACGACCCGUAACUGGCCUGAGAGGAGGAUCAGUCACACUGGAACUGAGACACGGUCCAGAUUCCUACGGGAGGCAGCAGUGGGGAAUAUUGGACAAUGGGCGAAAGCCUGAUCCAGCCAUGCCGCGUGUGUGAAGAAGGUCUUCGGAUUGUAAAGCACUUUAAGUUGGGAGGCGUUACCAACAGAAUAAGCACCGGCUAACUUCGUGCCAGCAGCCGCGGUAAUAC
This 407-nucleotide ribosomal RNA is filed under the name uncultured bacterium. RNAcentral describes it as "partial 16S ribosomal RNA". It matches the Rfam family "Bacterial small subunit ribosomal RNA", at positions 30 to 526 of the family's 1533-position model. The record is from RNAcentral.